UUUAAAUUGAGAGUUUGAUCCUGGCUCAGGAUGAACGCUGGCGGCGUGCUUAACACAUGCAAGUCGAGCGAUG
This 73-nucleotide ribosomal RNA is filed under the name Clostridium perfringens. Its description in RNAcentral is "partial 16S ribosomal RNA". It matches the Rfam family "Bacterial small subunit ribosomal RNA", at positions 1 to 71 of the family's 1533-position model. Lineage: Bacteria; Bacillati; Bacillota; Clostridia; Eubacteriales; Clostridiaceae. The record is from RNAcentral.